This 655-nucleotide ribosomal RNA is filed under the name uncultured Oceanospirillaceae bacterium. RNAcentral describes it as "SSU rRNA". It matches the Rfam family "Bacterial small subunit ribosomal RNA", at positions 507 to 1160 of the family's 1533-position model. The record is from RNAcentral. Lineage: Bacteria; Pseudomonadati; Pseudomonadota; Gammaproteobacteria; Oceanospirillales; Oceanospirillaceae.
GCCAGCCGCCGCGGUAAUACGGAGGGUGCAAGCGUUAAUCGGAAUUACUGGGCGUAAAGCGUGCGUAGGCGGUUUAUUAAGUCAGAUGUGAAAGCCCCGGGCUUAACCUGGGAACUGCAUUUGAAACUGGUCAACUAGAGUAUGGUAGAGGAAAGUGGAAUUUCUGGUGUAGCGGUGAAAUGCGUAGAUAUCAGAAGGAACAUCAAUGGCGAAGGCAGCUUUCUGGACCAAUACUGACGCUGAGGUACGAAAGCGUGGGUAGCAAACAGGAUUAGAUACCCUGGUAGUCCACGCCGUAAACGAUGAUAACUAGCCGUUUGGGGGGAUUUACCCUUUAGUGGCGAAGCUAACGCGUUAAGUUAUCCGCCUGGGGAGUACGGCCGCAAGGUUAAAACUCAAAGGAAUUGACGGGGACCCGCACAAGCGGUGGAGCAUGUGGUUUAAUUCGAUGCAACGCGAAGAACCUUACCUGGUCUUGACAUCCUGCGAACUUUCUAGAAAUAGAUUGGUGCCUUCGGGAACGCAGUGACAGGUGCUGCAUGGCUGUCGUCAGCUCGUGUCGUGAGAUGUUGGGUUAAGUCCCGUAACGAGAGCAACCCCUAUCCUUAUUUGCCAGCACAUCAUGGUGGGAACUAUAAGGAGACUGCCGGUGAUA